CGAACGGAAUGAAAGCCUCCGUGUCGCGCUUCCUGCCUCGGCGCCCCGGCCUGGGGGGGGCCAUGUGGGCUCCCCGGGGCUCCUCGCUGUGGCGGGUUCCCCAGCGCCGGGCAGUGGGACGUGGGGAGCGGAGGAGAGGUGCACGUGGAGGGCGCCGGGCCAGCCCUGCGCUCCGUAGGACGCACCCUGCCCCGGGGCCGUCCAUCCUACGCUCCCACCCCGUGCCCUCACCACGGAGAGAGCCAGCAGAGGUCACCCGCCGGGCCUGCUCUCGUGCGAAGCACCCCCAUGUACGCGCCCCCGCAGGAAGACUCGGGCUCACCUGCCUGCAGGAGCCCGGCCUCUCUGUGCACCCCGGCCCCCUCCAGGUGCAGCUCAGACCCGCAUGGCUUUCUCCUGCCUUCGACGCCUCACGAAGCCCACAGCAGCCUCCUGAGACUCCAGGAGCCUUGCACACCCGGGGCUUACCCUUGACACAGCUCUCCGCGAAGGGGAGGCUUUCGUUUGGCUGUGGUCAGGUGUAGCUGAAGGUGCGACACCAGGAGGAGCUGAGUAAAUCCCACCUGAGACACGGUCAGUCUCGCCAGUUCCAGAGAACGUUCGUGAUGGAUAAGGAAUGAGACGGCUGUGGAGCUGGAGUGUGAACAGCGUUAGGCUACAUUUCUCUCCUCCUGGUUCUGCAGUGACAGAGGACUGGGUCUUAGGCCGAGGAAUGGAAACGAAGCUGGAAAUCUAGCCUUUAUCACGAGGGCAUUUACUGUCAAUCUGUCUUCCUCCAUUGCGUUAGUGCUGCUUCCCAAGCACUUAUGGAGGUCCUGUUGGCUUCAGGGAGCACUACGAGCUCAGUACCGAAAACAAGUACCAAAUUGUUUUGGCUGGAAAGGGUAGCAAUUCACAGGGCAGUUCUGCCUUGCAUGCUGAGUACCAAACAAGUACUGAGUACCAAACAAGUACCGAGGCAAAAUUUUCACAUCAAAAUGUGUCACUGUACCAAAUUUGAUCCGUUUCAAAGCAGUUGAGUACCAAGCUGUGACUGUAUAUCCUAAGUUCUGCCACUCUUCCUUCUAUUUCCUAAGAUACAUCCUCCUUCUCAGCCAGUUCACCCUCAAACCUGCCACACUGAGAACAGGCCACGGUAGAUGGAAGCUGUUAUUUCAGGCUCCAAGUAUUCCAUAAGAUAAAUACAUUAUCUCAUAGAGUAGGAAGCCUAUGAGAACCGGAGCUCAUAUUUUAUGUAAGACUUUUCCCAAUGACAGAUCACUCAAGACAGUGCUGUAAUUUUAGUUUUAAACAAAUAAUUUGUAAAGAAAUCAAGAGAAUACAGGCAACAGAAAUAGUCUUUUUAGAAAUUCAUUUAAAAAUUUUAUUAGUACAUACUGGUUACAUUCAUUGUGGGGAACUGCUGCAUGUACAGAACACAUUUCAAUUCUUUCCUUUUUCCCUCCUUCCAUCCCCUUUUCUGUUUCUUUUUUGCCAAGAUCAGCUUUGUUUACUCUUAUAAGUCUUUAUCAAGUUAAUCAUCAUAAACACAGAUUAACAGCCAAACUAAUAGGCACAAAUAUAUAGAACACAUAAAAUAAUUCUAUUAAAGCAAGGCACAUUUUAGAUACAUUGGCCAUGCUAGGAUACAAUAACUUUUUUUCCUCUUUUUUCUAUUAUCUUUUAUUUGUACUUUAUUUAUAUAUUGGAUUUCUCAUUUAAGAGAAACCAUGUGCUAUCUAAGCUUGUGCAUGAUACACUUAUUAUGAUCUCGAGGACACUGUCCUUUGUAGGGGACAGUGUUUCAAAUUUGCCCUUCUUGGACAAAUUGGCAGAGUAGUACUCCAUUGUGUAUAAAUAUCACAUUUUCUUCAUCCAUUUAUCUGUUGAUGGCAAAUAGGACAUUUCCAAGCUUUAAACAUGGGUAUGCAUGUAUCACUGUAGUAUUAUGUCUUUAACUCUCUCGGGAAGAUACUUAGGCAAUAGCUGGGACAAAUGGGAUUUCUCUUUUUAGUGUUUUGAGGAUUUUCUAUACUUCUUUUACUAUUUAUUAUAGUGCGCUAUAAAACAGGUCUGUUGACCACAAAAUCUUAUCAUUGUAUUUUGUCUGAAAAUGUUCUUUUUGCCUUCCUAUUUGAACAGUGUCU
RNAcentral lists this long non-coding RNA (2126 nucleotides) under Cavia porcellus (domestic guinea pig). Its description in RNAcentral is "lncRNA (ENSCPOG00000040285.1)". Lineage: Eukaryota; Metazoa; Chordata; Mammalia; Rodentia; Caviidae. The record is from RNAcentral.